Molecule: non-coding RNA, 646 nt
Organism: Paramuricea clavata
Lineage: Eukaryota; Metazoa; Cnidaria; Anthozoa; Malacalcyonacea; Plexauridae
Source: the annotation of a GenBank genome assembly
GUUUUUUCAAACUAGUAAAUCUUUUCAAAGCCCCCCUUCUUUCGUCUCUCUGUAUUUUUUCAAAGCCCCUCUCCCCCCUUUCAGGUUUAAAAACAUUUAAAGGCUCCCCCAGUUUCUCCUCAAUCCCCCCUGUACAAUAAAUAAUGAGCGGUCCAUAAAGGAAUACUAUAGUUCAAAAAGCUGCGGCUAGCGCUGCGUCCCCCAAUUAGAGAAGCCGGUCGCUAGUUAGAUUAUCGGUUAAUUAAUUAGAGAUCCACUAUACAGGGCGUCCAAAAAAUGCAAUGGCUGUGUUCCAGAUUUUUACGUAACUAAUUAUUAGUGGGCAUGCAUCAGAAAUUGAAUGUAAGAGAUGAAUUUCGACACUAAAAUAAUUAAAUCUCAGUGGCGGCGCCAGGCUUCCAAAUUUGGGGGGGCAUUUGAGGGGCAAACUCGAAUUUUUGGGGGGCAAGAUAGAAUUUUUAAAAAGGUCGCCCCCCCCAGGAAAUUCGCCCCCCCUCAAAACGUGGCGAUAUUCCUAGGAAUAUCGCCUCCCAGGGGGGUGGGGCGAAUACCCUAGGAAUAUCGCCCCUCUUUAGGACAUUCGCCCCCCAUAUAUGCGAUGUGGUUUAUUCAAAUAAUUUUGUGAUACUUUCAUCUUAUUAUUGCC